This 253-nucleotide ribosomal RNA is filed under the name uncultured bacterium. Its description in RNAcentral is "partial 16S ribosomal RNA". It matches the Rfam family "Bacterial small subunit ribosomal RNA", at positions 524 to 776 of the family's 1533-position model. The record is from RNAcentral.
UACGGAGGGUGCGAGCGUUAUCCGGAAUUAUUGGGCUUAAAGGGUGCGUAGGCGGCGCAGUAAGUCAGGUGUGAAAGUUUGCGGCUCAACCGUAAAAUUGCUUUUGAUACUGCUGUGCUAGAAUUAGGAUGAGGUCAGCGGAAUGUGGCAUGUAGCGGUGAAAUGCAUAGAUAUGCCAUAGAACACCAAUUGCGAAGGCAGCUGGCUAGAUCUAUAUUGACGCUGAGGCACGAAAGCGUGGGGAGCGAACAGG